AUGAACGCUGGCGGCGUGCCUAAUCCAUGCCAGUCGAGCGAACGGACGAGAAGCUUGCUUCUCUGAUGUUAGCGGCGGACGGGUGAGUAACACGUGGAUAACCUACCUAUAAGACUGGGAUAACUUCGGGAAACCGGAGCUAAUACCGGAUAAUAUUUUGAACCGCAUGGUUCAAAAGUGAAAGACGGUCUUGCUGUCACUUAUAGAUGGAUCCGCGCUGCAUUAGCUAGUUGGUAAGGUAACGGCUUACCAAGGCAACGAUGCAUAGCCGACCUGAGGGGGUGAUCGGCCACACUGGAACUGAGACACGGUCCAGACUCCUACGGGAGGCAGCAGUAGGGAAUCUUCCGCAAUGGGCGAAAGCCUGACGGAGCAACGCCGCGUGAGUGAUGAAGGUCUUCGGAUCGUAAAACUCUGUUAUUAGGGAAGAACAUAUGUGUAAGUAACUGUGCACAUCUUGACGGUACCUAAUCAGAAAGCCACGGCUAACUACGUG
This 496-nucleotide ribosomal RNA is filed under the name uncultured bacterium. RNAcentral describes it as "partial 16S ribosomal RNA". It matches the Rfam family "Bacterial small subunit ribosomal RNA", at positions 29 to 507 of the family's 1533-position model. The record is from RNAcentral.